GAUGAACGCUAGCUACAGGCUUAACACAUGCAAGUCGAGGGGUAACGAGAGGAAAGCUUGCUUUCCUUGUCGACGACCGGCGCACGGGUGAGUAACGCGUAUCCAACCUGCCCCCAACUAAGGAAUAACCUUGCGAAAGUAAGACUAAUACCUUAUAAUUUCCUCAGAUGUCAUCUGACGAGGAAUAAAGAUUUAUCGGUUGUGGAUGGGGAUGCGUCUGAUUAGCUUGUUGGCGGGGUAACGGCCCACCAAGGCAACGAUCAGUAGGGUUUCUGGGAGGAAGGUCCCCCACAUUGGAAAUGAGACACGGUCCAAACUCCUACGGGGGGCAGCAGUGAGGAAUAUUGGUCAAUGGGCGAAAGCCUGAACCAGCCAAGUAGCGUGCAGGAUGACGGCCCUAUGGGCUGUAAACUGCUUUUAUACAGGAAUAAAGUUAGCCACGUGUGGUUAUUUGUAGGUACUGUAUGAAUAAGGACCGGCUAAUUCCGUGCCAGCAGCCGCCGUAA
This 506-nucleotide ribosomal RNA is filed under the name uncultured bacterium. RNAcentral's name for it is "partial 16S ribosomal RNA". It matches the Rfam family "Bacterial small subunit ribosomal RNA", at positions 28 to 523 of the family's 1533-position model. The record is from RNAcentral.